UGACUCUCCAGCUAGAUACACACUAGUAAGAACUUAUUUUGACAACAUACUUCAUUAUCAUCUCGAAUAACAUCACAAAAAGAUCAAAAAACAAGUAAGAUUAGCACAUUUAUGGGCAUCCAAAUCAUUUCCUGCCCACAACAGGUAAUAAUCCAUCUAAAUUCUUACACAUAUAGAUUAGGGUUAAUCGGCCACAAAUACGAAGAUCCAGCAGCUUAAAAAAGGGGCAAUUGAACUGGCAGCAAUAAUUCAAGGGUUUCCCAUCAAAAUCAAGAUUUCGAACCAUUUCUUCAAUAAAUGAUCUAAUUACCAAUUGAUUCAUUAAUUCAGAAAGGAAGAGUUGAUAUCCACAUACCCUUUUGAGUGAAGUCUUGUUGGAGAGCAGGGAUGGAGCUCGAGUGAAGAAAUGGAAGGGAAAGAGGAAAAAUCGAAUCUUUAUAUUAGUAUGGAGGGAAGCGGUGAAGGCGGCGGGGAUUCAUAGCGGCUGCUCAUCGGAGUCGAGAGGGAGACGGUGAUAGAGGCUUGAGAGAUGAGGGAGGAUGACGGCGGUCCGGCUGACCGUUGCUGUCGACUGAAGAAGAAGAUGGUGGUUCAGGCGGUAAUCUCGUCGGAAAUUGAAAGGGGAGAAAGCUAGGGAUUUUUGGGGAUUUUUCAUGAUUUAGAGAGGGAACGAGAGGCAGGCAGAUGCGAGGCCUACAGAGGGGAUACCGUGGCAGUGGUGGCUGGCGGCGACAGUAGCCGCCGGGUUUGAAGGGAGUAAGGCAGUGGCAGAGAGAAGAAGAAGAUAGGAGUACCGCGAGAGAGAGAGAGAGUGGUGGGUGAGACUUCAAACUUAGGAGAAGAAGGUGAAUUAUGUAAUUAGGGUUUUUAUUUUUUAUAAUAUUAUUAAAGUUAAAAUUAAAAAUAAAUAUAAAAAGUAAUCAUAACAGUAUUUUAGCGCUCAUACAUAACGGUUAAAACAACCAUUAUAAAAAUACGCUCAUAGAUAACGGUUAUCUUAACGGUUCGAUAACACCGUUAUGUAUGCACCUAAUAGAUAACGCUUAUUCAUAACGAAUUACUUCGUACCGUUAUC
RNAcentral lists this long non-coding RNA (1075 nucleotides) under Salvia miltiorrhiza (redroot sage). RNAcentral's name for it is "long non-coding RNA (SMIL_LNC005097)". The record is from RNAcentral. Lineage: Eukaryota; Viridiplantae; Streptophyta; Magnoliopsida; Lamiales; Lamiaceae.